GCAGCAUUUUCGGUACUCGGCGCCAAGCGAAAAAUCAGUUUACAACGGAAAGCACAAAGCGACGGUCGUUAAUAUUUAGACAAGCUACGGGAAAAUUGAAUUAAAAAAAUAUAAUAAAAAAAAUAAAUAAAUAAAAUCCCAAGCAAAAGGGAAUUUAACGUAAAUUUUGCGUGGCAACGAAAAAAGGUGUUGGAAUUCCUCUGAGUGUGUUUGUUGUGUGCAUUAAAUUCCACGAGUUGCCAAAGAAUUUGGCCAGCGAGGCUAAUAAAGCGAUACGUGUCCUGAGCGAAGAAAAACCCGCCCCAAAACCCAGAAGCUAAGCCAACUCAAAGUUUGAAGUCGACGGUUCGUUGGAAAGGCCAAGACAUAGAGUUAAUUGAGAACGUUGAUGGCUGCCACCAAAAUCAUUGAUGCACCGCGAAACGGCCACGAAAUGGCGCCUCUGAACACGAGAGCGCGAGGCGACGGCACCCAUGGGGUGACCAUUGUCCUAACUGCACCGCAGCGCAAUUCGGUGCAGUCGGUGGAUAUACCUGGCGAGCCAGAUCGCGCGGCCUGGAGCGGCAAGAUGCAGUUCUUUCUCAGCAUUAUUGGCUAUUCCGUUGGCCUGGGCAACAUCUGGCGCUUCCCGUACCUAUGCCAGCAGAACGGUGGCGGCGCAUUCCUGAUACCCUUUAUGAUCAUGUUAGUAUUGGAGGGCAUACCGCUCUUCCUCAUCGAGCUGGGCAUGGGACAGCGCAUGCGCCUGGGCGCUCUGGGAGUGUGGAAUACCAUACAUCCCUGGCUGGGCGGCAUCGGCAUCUCCUCGUGCAUUGUGACGCUGUUUGUGGCGUUGUACUAUAACGUGAUCAUCACGUGGGUCUUCUACUAUCUGUUUAACAGUUUUCGAUAUCCGCUGCCUUGGUCAACUUGUCCCACUAAUGGCACUGGCUUUGAGCUGGAGGAGUGCGCGAAGUCCUCGGAGACAACAUAUUUCUGGUACAGAACCACCUUGGAUGCGGCUCCCUCGAUGGAUGAGCCCGGCGGCCUGAAAUGGUGGAUUGUCCUCUGUUUGCUGCUCUCUUGGACCAUCGUCUUUUUCAUUGUGAUGAAGGGCAUCCAGAGCUCCGGCAAGGUGGUCUACUUCACCUCGCUCUUCCCCUACAUUGUGUUGACCAUCUUCUUCAUACGCGGCAUCACGCUGCGCGGAGCCGGCGCCGGACUAAUGCACAUGUAUACGCCGAAGGUGGAGAAACUGCUGGAGCCGACAGUCUGGCUCGACGCGGCCACGCAGGUAUUUUACUCGUUUGGCUUAGCCUUUGGCUCGCUGAUUGCCUUCGGCAGCUACAAUACGCCCAAGAACAACUGCGUCCGAGACGUGCUCCUGGUGUCUGUCUGCAAUGCAGUCACUGCCAUCUACGCGAGUGUCGUCAUCUUCGCUAUACUCGGCUUCAAGGCCACCGUCAACGUGGAUCGCUGUGUGGCCAGCAAUACGGACAUAUUGGUUAAGAAUGCGCUGUUGCCCUUCAAGAAUGCCUCCAGCGAGGAUUACGACUCAGUCAUGCAAAAGAUCAAUGGCACCGAAUUCGAAGCACUGCAUCUCAGUGAGUGCAGCCUGUCCAAAGAGCUGGACAAUGCCGCUGAAGGCACCGGCUUGGCAUUUAUUGUCUUCACUCAGGCUAUUGUCGAGCUGCCGGGCGCACCGUUCUGGGCGGUGCUCUUCUUCACCAUGCUACUGUCGCUGGGUUUGGGCUCACAGAUUGGCAUUCUUGAGGGCAUGCUGUGCACGUUGUUCGACAUAGACAUCAUCAAGCGGGUUAAGAAACAACAUGUCACUGGUGUGGUAUGUCUAUUCUGCUUUAUUGUCGGUUUCAUCUUCUGCACAGGUGCCGGUGAAUAUUGGCUCAAGAUGUUUGAUUCUUUUGCCGGUACAAUUGGCUUGGUUGUAGUCGCCCUUAUGGAAAUGAUAGCAGUCAUAUUUAUCUAUGGCCAUGAGCGCUUCACUGAGGACAUCUAUCAGAUGACAGGCUAUAGACCCGGCGUUUACUGGCAGAUGACCUGGCGCUAUAUUGGUCCAGUUAUCAUGGUCUGCAUUUUGGUCUCCUCUAUAGUCUUCAUGGUCAUACGUAAUCCGACAUAUGGUGCCUGGAAUGCCGAAAAGGGUAUUGUUGAACAGAAGGAUUAUCCGAACUGGGUCAUGGGCAUUGCCCUCGCCAUGAUCUUGGCUGGUGUAUUGCCCAUGCCCAUUGUGUUCCUCAUGCGUAGCUUCCAGUGCCUCAAAGUGGAUCUGGACAUACACCAAGGCUCCAUUAGGCGCAAUGAGACAACCGCUUCAACCAAGGAAAUGAUCGACAACGAUGACGACAAUUUGAGUCCGGAUAUGCCACCGCAAGAUUUAUUAGCGGCCACACGCUUCACAAUUGGAGACUUUGAAAACUAGAAACUGAAGUACUAAACACAUCCAACAAGAUACCUAACCUUAAACAUAACUAACUCAAAAAGUAGCCUACCACAAAAAUGAAAACGAAAAGAACUAAAAAGAAAAGAAUUAACUAAAAGCAACGCCUGACACCCACGCUGUGAGGAUAAAUUUCACGCGCCGUCUGCCUGACUAGAAAUACCCUACAAAAACAAAAGCCGCACACACAUUACGUAACAAUUCGAACCGAUCCGCAUUCGCCACUAAGUAAACUAUGAAUACUUUUAAAGACGCACAGCAAAAUCUUAACAGUAGCAAAGAAAAACGAAAAAAGAAAACAAAAACAAUCGCAAUGCCAUUUAAAUGUAAUAGAGUUUGAUAAACGAUAAGCGAUUAACUUCGAUAACAAGUAUUCGUCAGCGCCUUCUUUACAAAGAACAAAAACAAAACAUAACUUCAAAAGUGAAACCGAGAAAAAAGAAUUACAAUUAUUUACGAGCAAACUAGUUUAGUGCAAUGUUUACGAAUUAAGCUAAAUAUUUAUAAACUAAAGUUUAGACCCGUAACGCUCACCUAGAAAGCUCAAUGUUUAGACCUAGGGCUGUAGCAUUAACAAAGAAACAAUACUUUCGAUUGGCUAAGAAGACGGCUCUGAAUUGCGAAUCCAGAAGCAGGACGACGAUGAGGAUGAUGAGAAUGACUUUAGUGGGCCCGCAUUGGGCGGUCAUGUGAAAACCCAGAGUGAUUUCUCCG
Molecule: unclassified non-coding RNA, 3151 nt
Filed under: Drosophila mojavensis
Lineage: Eukaryota; Metazoa; Arthropoda; Insecta; Diptera; Drosophilidae
Description: GI18448
Source: RNAcentral